RNAcentral lists this unclassified non-coding RNA (253 nucleotides) under uncultured Caryophanales bacterium. RNAcentral's name for it is "uncultured Bacillales bacterium contains 16S-23S intergenic spacer region". It matches the Rfam family "Bacterial small subunit ribosomal RNA", at positions 524 to 776 of the family's 1533-position model. Lineage: Bacteria; Bacillati; Bacillota; Bacilli; Caryophanales. The record is from RNAcentral.
UACGUAGGUGGCAAGCGUUGUCCGGAAUUAUUGGGCGUAAAGCGCGCGCAGGCGGUCCCUUAAGUCUGAUGUGAAAGCCCCCGGCUCAACCGGGGAGGGCCAUUGGAAUCUGGGAGGCUUGAGUAUAGGAGAGAAGAGUGGAAUUCCACGUGUAGCGGUGAAAUGCGUAGUGAUGCGGAGGAACACCAGUGGCGAAGGCGACUUUCUGGUCUGUAACUGACACUGAGGCGCGAAAGCGUGGGGAGCGAACAGG